This 256-nucleotide long non-coding RNA is filed under the name Elaeis guineensis (African oil palm). Its description in RNAcentral is "long non-coding RNA (EGUI_LNC002623)". The record is from RNAcentral. Lineage: Eukaryota; Viridiplantae; Streptophyta; Magnoliopsida; Arecales; Arecaceae.
UCAUAAUUAAUUUAGAUGGAACCCAAACUUUUUGGUACCUAUGUUGCAUGCCUUUUUUGACUUGAUCCAAUCCCUAUCCAAUAAGGAUUCCUAAUCUCAAGAAGAAUUUGGAUUUACCAUGUGCUAACAUGAUUUUUUUAAAUCCAAUAGAAUUUUAUAAAUUCUAACUCAAUUAGGACUUCAUAAGCUUAAUUGUAUGAUCCUAGAUCAAAUUUUUUUAUGUAUGAUCCUAUAGGUUCAAUUCUAUUCGAUAGUG